AUUGAACGCUGGCGGCAUGCCUUACACAUGCAAGUCGAACGGUAAGGCCCUUUCGGGGGUACACGAGCGGCGAACGGGUGAGUAACACGUGGGUGACCUGCCCUCAGCUCUGGGAUAAGCCUGGGAAACCGGGUCUAAUACUGGAUAUGACUCCAUGACGCAUGUUGUGGGGUGGAAAGCCUUGUGCGGCUGAGGAUGGGCCCGCGGCCUAUCAGCUUGUUGGUGGGGGUGAUGGCCUACCAAGGCGACGACGGGUAGCCGGCCUGAGAGGGCGACCGGCCACACUGGGACUGAGACACGGCCCAGACUCCUACGGGAGGCAGCAGUGGGGAAUCUUGCGCAAUGGGCGAAAGCCUGACGCAGCGACGCCGCGUGAGGGAUGACGGCCUGGUGUAAC
RNAcentral lists this ribosomal RNA (397 nucleotides) under uncultured bacterium. RNAcentral's name for it is "bacterial SSU rRNA". It matches the Rfam family "Bacterial small subunit ribosomal RNA", at positions 28 to 429 of the family's 1533-position model. The record is from RNAcentral.